AUUGAACGCUGGCGGCAUGCCUUACACAUGCAAGUCGAACGGUAACGGGCCUUCGGGUGCCGACGAGUGGCGAACGGGUGAGUAAUGCAUCGGAACGUACCUUUCAGUGGGGGAUAACGUAGCGAAAGUUACGCUAAUACCGCAUAUUCUGUGAGCAGGAAAGCAGGGGAUCGCAAGACCUUGCGCUGAUUGAGCGGCCGAUGUCAGAUUAGCUAGUUGGUGAGGUAAAAGGCUCACCAAGGCGACGAUCUGUAGCGGGUCUGAGAGGAUGAUCCGCCACACUGGAACUGAGACACGGUCCAGACUCCUACGGGAGGCAGCAGUGGGGAAUUUUGGACAAUGGGGGCAACCCUGAUCCAGCCAUGCCGCGUGAGUGAAGAAGGCCU
Molecule: ribosomal RNA, 386 nt
Filed under: uncultured bacterium
Lineage: Bacteria
Description: bacterial SSU rRNA
Rfam family: Bacterial small subunit ribosomal RNA
Source: RNAcentral